GACGAACGCUGGCGGCGCGCUUAACACAUGCAAGUCGAGCGAGAACCAGCCCUUCGGGGCUGGGGACAGCGGCGAACGGGUGAGUAACACGUGGGUAAUCUGCCCUCGGCACCGGGAUAGCCCGGGGAAACCCGGAUUAAUACCGGAUGGCCUUUCGAGCCCUCGGGCUUGAGAGAAAAGGUAGCCUUGGCCUCUGGCCGAGGAUGAGCCCGCGGCCGAUUAGCUUGUUGGUGAGGUAAUGGCCCACCAAGGCGACGAUCGGUAGCUGGUCUGAGAGGACGAUCAGCCACACUGGGACUGAGACACGGCCCAGACUCCUACGGGAGGCAGCAGUGGGGAAUCUUGCGCAAUGGGCGAAAGCCUGACGCAGCGACGCCGUGUGCGGGAAGAAGGCCU
RNAcentral lists this ribosomal RNA (396 nucleotides) under uncultured bacterium. Its description in RNAcentral is "bacterial SSU rRNA". It matches the Rfam family "Bacterial small subunit ribosomal RNA", at positions 28 to 417 of the family's 1533-position model. The record is from RNAcentral.